Non-coding RNA from Nicotiana tabacum (common tobacco), 543 nucleotides. NCBI's taxonomy places the organism in Eukaryota, Viridiplantae, Streptophyta, Magnoliopsida, Solanales, Solanaceae. The record is from RefSeq and is a predicted model, not a curated record.
GAUUUGACGGUAGCUCUAGAAACAUCGACUCUUUCAUCUCUUUUCACAAAGAAAUGCUCCUCCAGUUUUUUGCUCGAAUCUCUUCAUCUUCUUAAUUGGGUGGCAUUUGAUGACGGGAUUCAGGCCUUUUUGGUUGUAGUUUCAGGCUCCAUCAGGACCUGGUCAUUUCAGUAACGAAUUUUCAUAAUGAAGACAGAGGUUUUAUGUGUUUGGCUGAGGAUGUUUUUGAUGUGCCAAUUAGGAAGGAUAUUAUUCAUCGUGUUGUGAGAUGGCAACUAGUAAAACAACAUCAGGGAACCCAUUCAACUAAAACCAUUAGUGAAGUUAUUGGGACUGGUAGAAAACCGUGGAGGCGGAAGAGAACUGGGCGAACAAGGCCUGGAACACUGUGUGGUGCUCAGGUUCUACUUAUGUAUAUUGCUUUGAUGUAAAGAGUAUAUCUUUCUGCUAAGUAAUUUUGAAUCACUUUUUAGGGCAAAAGUUUCUUGUAAAUGUAAAAUAUCCUACAUAAUCUCCUUCUCUUGAAUUUUCAAUCUUUCAAAA